Molecule: small RNA, 652 nt
Filed under: uncultured fungus
Lineage: Eukaryota; Fungi
Description: eukaryotic LSU rRNA
Rfam family: 5.8S ribosomal RNA (bases 215-369)
Source: RNAcentral
GGAAGGAUCAUUACCGAAUUGUCAACAAGAGUUGUUGCUGGUCCCUGUAUGGGGGCAUGUGCACGCUCUGUUUACACAUCCACUCACACCUGUGCACGCUCUGUAGUUCUAUGGCCUGGGUGGGCUCUGCCCUCCUGCUGUGGUUCUAUGUCUUUACACACACACUACAACAAAGUCUCAUGGAAUGUAUGUCGCGUUUAACGCAAUGAAAUACAACUUUCAGCAACGGAUCUCUUGGCUCUCGCAUCGAUGAAGAACGCAGCGAAAUGCGAUAAGUAAUGUGAAUUGCAGAAUUCAGUGAAUCAUCGAAUCUUUGAACGCACCUUGCGCCCUUUGGCUAUUCCGAAGGGCAUGCCUGUUUGAGUAUCAUGAACACCUCAACUCUCAUGGCUUGCCGUGAUGUGCUUGGACUUUGGGGGUCUUGUUGGCCUGUGAGCCAGCUCCUCUUAAAUGAAUUAGCUCGCCGGUGUUUGGUGGCGUCACGGGUGUGAUAACUAUCUACGCUUGUGGUUCCCCACCAGGGUAACCUUCAGCAAUGAAGGUUCACCGGAGCUUAUAAAUGUCUCUCCUCAGCGAGGACAGAUUUUGACCAUUUGAUCUCAAAUCAGGUAGGACUACCCGCUGAACUUAAGCAUAUCAAUAAGCGGAGGAA